GUAUCAUUUUAAAUGUAAUAAAUACGUACACCACUAAAAUCUGUGAAAUAAUCUGAAUCUCUACAUACACGUGUAAUAAUGUCAACCAGAAUCUCAACAACAAAGUGAAACGGGUGCUAAACCGGCUAGGAGGAGUGACAGGUGAUAGGCCAACGGGUGCUAAACCGGCUAGGAGGAGUGACAGGUGAUAGGCCAACGGGUGGUAAACCGGCUAGGAGGAGUGACAGGUGAUAGGCCAACGGGUGCUAAACCGGCUAGGAGGAGUGACAGGUGAUAGGCCAACGGGUGCUAAACCGGCUAGGAGGAGUGACCUGUGAUAGGCCAACGGGUGCUAAACCGGCUAGGAGGAGUGACAGGUGAUAGGCCAACGGGUGCUAAACCGGCUAGGAGGAGUGACAGGUGAUAGGCCAACGGGUGCUAAACCGGCUAGGAGGAGUGACCUGUGAUAGGCCAACGGGUGCUAAACCGGCUAGGAGGAGUGACAGGUGAUAGGCCAACGGGUGCUAAACCGGCUAGGAGGAGUGACCUGUGAUAGGCCAACGGGUGGUAAACCGGCUAGGAGGAGUGACCUGUGAUAGGCCCUGGGAAUGGAGGGUGCUAAAGAGUUCAACAGCCUUACGGCCUGGGGGAAGAAGCGGUCUUGAGACCUGUUUGUUGUGGACCAGACACUCCUGUAUCUUCUGUCAGACGGUGGUAAAGAUGACAUCACCUCCUAAACCCAUCGCACACCUGAAAGAACUGGAUAGCCACAUAAACCUGCAACACUGGGAAAGUAUUAUUUUACUAUUAUUACAAGCUAAUGGGCGAAAACAACUUGCUUGGCUAAAUUGAUCAUCAUUCGCAAACUGAACUGAUUCAAAAUGGAUGUGGAAAUUCCCCUGUCCAGUUGUGGGUAUAUCGAUAUUUGAAAGAAAAUAUAGAAAAUGUGGAAUUCAUUGAAAAAUGUUGUUUGUAUAGCUAACAUAGAAUUAUUGCAACCAACCAAUGAGAUAGGGAGCGGGCAGUGCCUUUUGAGUCCUGCUUAGUGUGCUCUAGAAUUAUUUUGUAGAUGUGCUUAAACUACAACUUACAGAAAUGCAUAAACGUAAUCCUUAAACAGGCAAAGACCUGAUUUUCCAGGUCUGCACCAAUUUAAGGAUUAGGGUUAGCAUUUCUGUAAGGGAAAUGGUCAUUCCCAAUUACUUCUGCUGGCUGGAUUCAGGAGGAGCACAUUUAUUAAGAUUGAAUUUGAACUAAGACAGCUUCCAACAGGCUUGCAGUAUAUCUACUGUAAGACUAUGGAUAUGAAUUCUACAGGGAUGGGGAUUUACAAAAGAAGUUCAUCUGCAUGUAAGGUAACAAUGAGUUAUGUCUUUCCUUGAUAUUCCCAUAAUCCCCUCAUCUGCUAGUACUGCGCACACAGCAGGAGGCCUCAAGCUCUUUUUUUAGCAAAACAUAAAUAGUUGGUUAAAAAUCUUUCUUUCAAAGUUGAAAUGUCGUGGCUAACUGAGGUAUGAUAUUGAUUGUGUUACACAUUCAGCUCAAAAUGGGAGGUUUAGGAAAUAAUUGUCGCAUUGCAAAUGUCAGAGACUGCAUCUAUAAUUGGAGAGAAAGAAUGCAAGGACUUCAAGACAUAGAAUGAGCAUAUAAUCAGCUUGGCUUGACAGGAUAGUUCAUCCCUUUCAAAUUCCAACUAAUCCAUCAUCUAGAGCUUGGGGCAUGUGAAUUAGGCAUGGUUAGAGUACAAAAACAUGUAAGGUAAGUUAAUAUGACCCAAAUACUAAAACAUUAGCUAAGAAACACAAAAUAAACACAAGCAGACCUAUGAUGGCCCUCACCUACCUCACCUUGACUAAACCAGAACACUACUGGAGAAAUAAUACUCACUGCAGAAGUAGUUCAUGAAACAUGAUUAGGGUAUAAUAAAAGCAAAAACACUGUUCCUCCCUGGGAUUAUCCCCGUCCAACAAAAGGUCCUGAAAUAUAGUAGAAAACAUACAUGAAAACAAUGUAAAGAAAAAGAACCAAAAGAAACAUCUUUAUCUUUUCCUUGGACACUUGGCCUGGGAUGCUUACAAAGCCAACCUGUUUCAGCUAGCUACCAUUGCAGUGUUCCCUUUGGUUGGAGCACAUUUUUAAAGGGUUCUCCUAACAAGAAAGCCAAAUAACUUUUAUGUUGUUAAUGGACACUUUUCUUUUAAUGACUACAGGCUUCUCUUUGUUAGAUGCUAUUUGCACAGGAUGUUUUCACUGGCUGUCCCUUUCAAGAGGUCAGAGGCUAUUGGAUGUUGUGCUCUGUUCUAAUAAAGCCUGGGACUUUAACAAGACCCCUGCCAAUCACUGUGUGAUUGUGUGUGUGUGGUGUGUGGUUUGUGGGGCAGUCCCAGUGGACCAAAGUCAUGGGGAAUGCCCCAGAGUGACCAUGAUGGCAUCCGCAUUCCUCAAGCAUGUGGAUACACACGGACAAUGGAAAACCCCCAACCAUGAACACACAAACCAAACAUUUAACCACAGCACAUAAUUCCCAAGUCUAACAGUAUUACUGUAUCAGCUUUGUACAAUUCAAAGGCACAAACAUUUACAGUGAAACGGUUUCAUCACAUACCUUAUUGAACAAAAGGGAAUGCAAAAAAUAGACAACACAAAACAAUGAGGCGUUUUGGCCUGAAACCAGGAGGAAGCCAUAUGCUUUCAUUUCAACUCUAUUAUUUCUCAAACGCUGUCAUGCCAGCCUCCUGGGAAAUGGCAGCGCCAACCUCUCGACUACGCUCCUCCUCGUUUGUGUACUAACCACCAGCGUGGGAACGAUGGCACCAACACCCCUGGUUGCCUUGUUUUUCUUUCACCCCUCGUGGGUUAUUGUGCUAUGUGUAUUGUGCUUAGCCAUGUAGUGUGCUGUUUGUCUACUGAUACUAUAAACGGCCUUGUUGUUACCUUA
Molecule: long non-coding RNA, 2917 nt
Organism: Esox lucius (northern pike)
Lineage: Eukaryota; Metazoa; Chordata; Actinopteri; Esociformes; Esocidae
Exons: 2
Source: RefSeq, a predicted model, not a curated record